This 189-nucleotide ribosomal RNA is filed under the name Meloidogyne hapla. Its description in RNAcentral is "partial 18S ribosomal RNA". It matches the Rfam family "Eukaryotic small subunit ribosomal RNA", at positions 1641 to 1831 of the family's 1831-position model. The record is from RNAcentral. Lineage: Eukaryota; Metazoa; Nematoda; Chromadorea; Rhabditida; Meloidogynidae.
UUGAUUACGUCCCUGCCCUUUGUACACACCGCCCGUCGCUGCCCGGGACUGAGCCAUUUCGAGAAACUUGGGGACUGUUGAUCUAAUUUUUUUAAGUUACUUUGAUGGAAACCAAUUUAAUCGCAGUGGCUUGAACCGGGCAAAAGUCGUAACAAGGUAGCUGUAGGUGAACCUGCUGCUGGAUCAUUA